CCUACGGGGGGCAGCAGUGAGGAAUAUUGGUCAAUGGGCGAGAGCCUGAACCAGCCAAGUCGCGUGAGGGAGUACUGCCCUAUGGGUUGUAAACCUCUUUUGUCGGGGAGCAAAAGCCGGACGUGUCCGGCUGUGAGAGUACCCGAAGAAAAAGCAUCGGCUAACUCCGUGCCAGCAGCCGCGGUAAUCCGGAGGAUGCGAGCGUUAUCCGGAUUUAUUGGGUUAAAAGGGUGCGCAGGCGGAUUUUUAGGUCAGUGGUAAAAUCGUGGGGCUCAACCCCAACCAGCCGUUGAAACUGGGGAUCUAGAGUGUGCGAGAGGUAUGUGGAAUGCGUGGUGUAGCGGUGAAAUGCGUAGAUAUUAGGAGGAACACCAGUGGCGAAGGCGGCCUACUGGACGGUGACUGACGCUGAGGCUCGAAAGCGUGGGGAGCAAACAGGAUUAGAUACCCGGGUAGUC
RNAcentral lists this ribosomal RNA (458 nucleotides) under uncultured bacterium. RNAcentral's name for it is "partial 16S ribosomal RNA". It matches the Rfam family "Bacterial small subunit ribosomal RNA", at positions 338 to 795 of the family's 1533-position model. The record is from RNAcentral.